Molecule: ribosomal RNA, 674 nt
Filed under: uncultured cyanobacterium
Lineage: Bacteria; Bacillati; Cyanobacteriota
Description: bacterial SSU rRNA
Rfam family: Bacterial small subunit ribosomal RNA
Source: RNAcentral
CGAAAGCCUGACGGAGCAACGCCGCGUGAGGGACGAAGGCCUCUGGGCUGUAAACCUCUUUUCUCAAGGAAGAAGAACUGACGGUACUUGAGGAAUAAGCCACGGCUAAUUCCGUGCCAGCAGCCGCGGUAAUACGGGAGUGGCAAGCGUUAUCCGGAAUUAUUGGGCGUAAAGCGUCCGCAGGCGGCCUCGUAAGUCUGUCGUUAAAGCGUGGAGCUUAACUCCAUUUCAGCGAUGGAAACUGUGAGGCUUGAGUGUGGUAGGGGCAGAGGGAAUUCCCGGUGUAGCGGUGAAAUGCGUAGAUAUCGGGAAGAACACCAGUGGCGAAGGCGCUCUGCUGGGCCAUAACUGACGCUCAUGGACGAAAGCCAGGGGAGCGAAAGGGAUUAGAUACCCCUGUAGUCCUGGCCGUAAACGAUGAACACUAGGUGUCGGGGGAAUCGACCCCCUCGGUGUCGUAGCCAACACGUUAAGUGUUCCGCCUGGGGAGUACGCACGCAAGUGUGAAACUCAAAGGAAUUGACGGGGGCCCGCACAAGCGGUGGAGUAUGUGGUUUAAUUCGAUGCAACGCGAAGAACCUUACCAGGGUUUGACAUCCUGCGAAUCCCUUGGAAACGAGGGAGUGCCUUCGGGAACGCAGUGACAGGUGGUGCAUGGCUGUCGUCAGCUCGUC